GCAGUCGAGCGACAGAUAAGGAGCUUGCUCCUUUGACGUUAGCGGCGGACGGGUGAGUAACACGUGGGUAACCUACCUAUAAGACUGGAAUAACUCCGGGAAACCGGGGCUAAUGCCGGAUAACAUUUAGAACCGCAUGGUUCUAAAGUGAAAGAUGGUUUUGCUAUCACUUAUAGAUGGACCCGCGCCGUAUUAGCUAGUUGGUAAGGUAAUGGCUUACCAAGGCAACGAUACGUAGCCGACCUGAGAGGGUGAUCGGCCACACUGGAACUGAGACACGGUCCAGACUCCUACGGGAGGCAGCAGUAGGGAAUCUUCCGCAAUGGGCGAAAGCCUGACGGAGCAACGCCGCGUGAGUGAUGAAGGGUUUCGGCUCGUAAAACUCUGUUAUUAGGGAAGAACAAACGUGUAAGUAACUGUGCACGUCUUGACGGUACCUAAUCAGAAAGCCACGGCUAACUACGUGCCAGCAGCCGCGGUAAUACGUAGGUGGCAAGCGUUAUCCGGAAUUAUUGGGCGUAAAGCGCGCGUAGGCGGUUUCUUAAGUCUGAUGUGAAAGCCCACGGCUCAACCGUGGAGGGUCAUU
This 586-nucleotide ribosomal RNA is filed under the name Staphylococcus sp. CH408a_13C. RNAcentral describes it as "bacterial SSU rRNA". It matches the Rfam family "Bacterial small subunit ribosomal RNA", at positions 57 to 627 of the family's 1533-position model. Lineage: Bacteria; Bacillati; Bacillota; Bacilli; Caryophanales; Staphylococcaceae. The record is from RNAcentral.